UACAGGGGGGGCAAGCGUUGUUCGGAAUUACUGGGCGUAAAGGGCUCGUAGGUGGCCAACUAAGUCAGACGUGAAAUCCCUCAGCUUAACUGGGGAACUGCGUCUGAUACUGGAUGGCUUGAGUUUGGGAGAGGGAUGCGGAAUUCUACGUGUAGCGGUGAAAUGCGUAGAGAUGUGGAGGAACACCAGUGGCGAAGGCGGCUUUCUGGUCUGUAACUGACGCUGAGGCGCGAAAGCGUGGGGAGCAAACAGG
RNAcentral lists this ribosomal RNA (253 nucleotides) under uncultured bacterium. RNAcentral describes it as "partial 16S ribosomal RNA". It matches the Rfam family "Bacterial small subunit ribosomal RNA", at positions 524 to 776 of the family's 1533-position model. The record is from RNAcentral.